This 564-nucleotide ribosomal RNA is filed under the name uncultured cyanobacterium. Its description in RNAcentral is "bacterial SSU rRNA". It matches the Rfam family "Bacterial small subunit ribosomal RNA", at positions 338 to 916 of the family's 1533-position model. The record is from RNAcentral. Lineage: Bacteria; Bacillati; Cyanobacteriota.
CCUACGGGAGGCAGCAGUGGGGAAUUUUCCGCAAUGGGCGAAAGCCUGACGGAGCAAUACCGCGUGAGGGAUGACAGCCUGUGGGUUGUAAACCUCUUUUCUCAAGGAAGAAGUUCUGACGGUACUUGAGGAAUAAGCAUCGGCUAACUCUGUGCCAGCAGCCGCGGUAAUACAGAGGAUGCAAGCGUUAUCCGGAAUCACUGGGCAUAAAGCGUCUGUAGGUUGUUUAGUAAGUCUGCUGUUAAAGACUAGGGCUUAACCCUAGGCCAGCAGUGGAAACUGCUAGACUUGAGUGUGGUAGAGGUAGAGGGAAUUCCUAGUGUAGCGGUGAAAUGCGUAGAUAUUAGGAAGAACACCAAUGGCGAAAGCACUCUACUGGGCCACAACUGACACUGAGAGACGACAGCUAGGGGAGCAAACGGGAUUAGAUACCCCGGUAGUCCUAGCCGUAAACUAUGGAUACUAGAUGUUGCACGUAUUAACCCGUGCAGUAUCGUAGCUAAGGCGUUAAGUAUCCCGCCUGGGAAGUACGCUCGCAAGAGUGAAACUCAAAGGAAUUGACGG